GCAGGUGUAGUUCAAUGGUAGAAUGUCAGCUUCCCAAGCUGAAGACGCGGGUUCGAUUCCCGUCACCUGCUCCA
This 74-nucleotide transfer RNA is filed under the name Clostridium facile. RNAcentral describes it as "tRNA-Gly". It matches the Rfam family "tRNA". From Rfam's summary of the family: Transfer RNA (tRNA) molecules are approximately 80 nucleotides in length. Their secondary structure includes four short double-helical elements and three loops (D, anti-codon, and T loops). Lineage: Bacteria; Bacillati; Bacillota; Clostridia; Eubacteriales; Clostridiaceae. The record is from RNAcentral.